This 237-nucleotide ribosomal RNA is filed under the name uncultured bacterium. RNAcentral describes it as "partial 16S ribosomal RNA". It matches the Rfam family "Bacterial small subunit ribosomal RNA", at positions 1255 to 1500 of the family's 1533-position model. The record is from RNAcentral.
CAGCAAUGGGAUGCGAAUCUCGAAAGCCUGUCUCAGUUCGGAUUGGAGGCUGAAACCCGCCUCCAUGAAGUUGGAUUCGCUAGUAAUCGCGCAUCAGCCAUGGCGCGGUGAAUACGUUCCCGGGCCUUGUACACACCGCCCGUCAAGCCAUGGGAGCCGGGGGUGCCUGAAGUUCGUGACCGCAAGGAGCGACCUAGGGCAAAACUGGUGACUGGGGCUAAGUCGUAACAAGGUACC